AGUGAACGCUGGCGGUAGACCUAACACAUGCAAGUCGAACGGCAGCACAGUAAGAGCUUGCUCUUACGGGUGGCGAGUGGCGGACGGGUGAGGAAUACAUCGGAAUCUACUUUUUCGUGGGGGAUAACGUAGGGAAACUUACGCUAAUACCGCAUACGACCUCCGGGUGAAAGCAGGGGAUCUUCGGACCUUGCGCGAUUGAAUGAGCCGAUGUCGGAUUAGCUAGUUGGCGGGGUAAAGGCCCACCAAGGCGACGAUCCGUAGCUGGUCUGAGAGGAUGAUCAGCCACACUGGAACUGAGACACGGUCCAGACUCCUACGGGAGGCAGCAGUGGGGAAUAUUGGACAAUGGGCGCAAGCCUGAUCCAGCCAUACCGCGUGGGUGAAGAAGGCCUUCGGGUUGUAAAGCCCUUUUGUUGGGAAAGAAAAGCAGCAGGUUAAUACCCCGCUGUUCUGACGGUACCCAAAGAAUAAGCACCGGCUAACUUCGUG
This 492-nucleotide ribosomal RNA is filed under the name uncultured bacterium. Its description in RNAcentral is "partial 16S ribosomal RNA". It matches the Rfam family "Bacterial small subunit ribosomal RNA", at positions 29 to 507 of the family's 1533-position model. The record is from RNAcentral.